Oncorhynchus tshawytscha (Chinook salmon) is the source of this 1176-nucleotide long non-coding RNA. The record is from Ensembl. NCBI's taxonomy places the organism in Eukaryota, Metazoa, Chordata, Actinopteri, Salmoniformes, Salmonidae.
AUUCCAUGCUGUCUGUCAGUUGGUUCUUCUUCUCUGGUUUUGGAAGCAGCGUAGAGUAUAAACCAACACAUUCCAUGCUGUCUGUCAGUUGGUUCUUCUUCUCUGGUUUUGGAAGCAGCGUAGAGUAUAAACCAACACAUUCCAUGCUGUCUGUCAGUUGGUUCUUCUUCUCUGGUUUUGGAAGCAGCGUAGAGUAUACACCAACACAUUCCAUGCUGUCUGUCAGUUGGUUCUUCUUCUCUGGUUUUGGAAGCAGCGUAGAGUAUACACCAACACAUUCCAUGCUGUCUGUCAGUUGGUUCUUCUUCUCUGGUUUUGGAAGCAGCGUAGAGUAUACACCAACACAUUCCAUGCUGUAUGUCAGUUGGUUCUUCUUCUCUGGUUUUGGAAGCAGCGUAGAGUAUACACCAACACAUUCCAUGCCGUCUGUCAGUUGGUUCUUCUUCUCUGGUUUUGGAAGCAGCGUAGAGUAUACACCACCACAUUCCAUGCUGUCUGUCAGUUGGUUCUUCUUCUCUGGUUUUGGAAGCAGGGUAGAGUAUACACCAACACAUUCCAUGCUGUCUGUCAGUUGGUUCUUCUUCUCUGGUUUUGGAAGCAGCGUAGAGUAUACACCAACACAUUCCAUGCGGUCUGUCAGUUGGUUCUUCUUCUCUGGUUUUGGAAGCAGCGUAGAGUAUACACCAACACAUUCCAUGCUGUCUGUCAGUUGGUUGUCUCUCUCAAAAAAGGUGUUGAACACAAGCAGAUCUGGGAUCCAGGCUACCAACCUGCCUUGUGCUUCCUGCUGUCUAACACUUCAUGAUAGACGGACCGACGCUUCAUUAAUUCUACUCUGUCCACCAGCACAGCAUUUAAACUGCUUUUAUUUUGACAAACAAACGGGGCACUGAGCCUGGGGGACGAGGUGUCGUCUCUAGUCACUGAGCCUGGGGGACGAGGUGUCAUCUCUAGUCACUGAGCCUGGGGGACGAGGUGUCAUCUCUAGUCACUGAGCCUGGGGGACGAGGUGUCAUCUCUAGUCACUGAACCUGGGGACGAGGUGUCAUCUCUAGUCACUGAGCCUGGGGACGAGGUGUCAUCUCUAGUCACUGAGCCUGGGGGACGAGGUGCCAUCUCUAGUCACUGAGCCUGGGGACGAGGUGUCAUCUCUAGUCACUGAGCCUGGGGACGAGG